GAGAGGGGGGCUCGCCAUGUCAAGAUGAAAAAUAGGCUCAAGUACCUUGCGGAUCAGAAGGCUGAAGGGAUUAACCCAUACCUGCACAAGUUCUCUGUGACCAUGUCAAUUAGUCAAUACAUUAACAAAUAUGAAUCAUUGGGAUGCUGUUUUUGUAGUCAAUACAUUGACAAAAAAUAUGCUUGGUUUGUAGUCUAAUUAUUUACAUCUUUUAGGCCGUCAGUGUGGCUGUUUUUACAGAAGGGGCCAAAGCAGAAGAAGCUAGAAAUGCUAGAGCUAAUAUAGUUGGUUGCAAAAAACUUAUUGAGGAGAUUGCUAGUGGUAAUAAUAAACUUAAAGUUGACAAGUGCUUCUCAACUCCUGAAAUGGCACCUCAUCUUGGAAAGGUAUUGUUGUUUGGAGUAAUGGCUAUAGAGAUUAAAAGAAAGGCUCCUCA
This is a long non-coding RNA of Arachis duranensis, 436 nucleotides long. RefSeq lists it as uncharacterized. The transcript has 3 exons. The record is from RefSeq and is a predicted model, not a curated record. Lineage: Eukaryota; Viridiplantae; Streptophyta; Magnoliopsida; Fabales; Fabaceae.